GACGAACGCUGGCGGCGUGCUUAACACAUGCAAGUCGAACGGUAAGGCCCUUCGGGGUACACGAGUGGCGAACGGGUGAGUAACACGUGGGUGAUCUGCCCUGCACUUCGGGAUAAGCCUGGGAAACUGGGUCUAAUACCGGAUAGGACCACUGCCUGCAUGGGUGGUGGUGGAAAGCUUUCGCGGUGUGGGAUGGGCCCGCGGCCUAUCAGCUUGUUGGUGGGGUGAUGGCCUACCAAGGCGAUGACGGGUAGCCGGCCUGAGAGGGUAACCGGACACACUGGGACUGAGAUACGGCCCAGACUCCUACGGGAGGCAGCAGUGGGGAAUAUUGCACAAUGGGCGCAAGCCUGAUGCAGCGACGCCGCGUGAGGGAUGACGGCCUUCGGGUUGUAAACCUCUUUCAGCACCGACGAAGCGCAAGUGACGGUAGGUGCAGAAGAAGGACCGGCCAACUACGUGCCAGCAGCCGCAGUAA
This 478-nucleotide ribosomal RNA is filed under the name uncultured bacterium. RNAcentral's name for it is "partial 16S ribosomal RNA". It matches the Rfam family "Bacterial small subunit ribosomal RNA", at positions 28 to 523 of the family's 1533-position model. The record is from RNAcentral.